ACACUCCUACGGGAGGCAGCAGUGGGGAAUUUUGGACAAUGGGCGAAAGCCUGAUCCAGCAAUGCCGCGUGAGUGAAGAAGGCCUUCGGGUUGUAAAGCUCUUUUGUCAGGGAAGAAACGGUGAGAGCUAAUAUCUUUUGCUAAUGACGGUACCUGAAGAAUAAGCACCGGCUAACUACGUGCCAGCAGCCGCGGUAAUACGUAGGGUGCAAGCGUUAAUCGGAAUUACUGGGCGUAAAGCGUGCGCAGGCGGUUUUGUAAGUCUGAUGUGAAAUCCCCGGGCUCAACCUGGGAAUUGCAUUGGAGACUGCAAGGCUAGAAUCUGGCAGAGGGGGGUAGAAUUCCACGUGUAGCAGUGAAAUGCGUAGAUAUGUGGAGGAACACCGAUGGCGAAGGCAGCCCCCUGGGUCAAGAUUGACGCUCAUGCACGAAAGCGUGGGGAGCAAACAGGAUUAGAAACCCCUGUAGUCCCAUGA
This 476-nucleotide ribosomal RNA is filed under the name uncultured organism. Its description in RNAcentral is "partial 16S ribosomal RNA". It matches the Rfam family "Bacterial small subunit ribosomal RNA", at positions 333 to 800 of the family's 1533-position model. The record is from RNAcentral.